RNAcentral lists this transfer RNA (87 nucleotides) under Prevotellaceae bacterium. Its description in RNAcentral is "tRNA-Ser". It matches the Rfam family "tRNA". From Rfam's summary of the family: Transfer RNA (tRNA) molecules are approximately 80 nucleotides in length. Their secondary structure includes four short double-helical elements and three loops (D, anti-codon, and T loops). Lineage: Bacteria; Pseudomonadati; Bacteroidota; Bacteroidia; Bacteroidales; Prevotellaceae. The record is from RNAcentral.
GGAAAGAUGCCGGAGUGGACGAACGGGACGGUCUCGAAAACCGUUGUACCCGUAAGGGUACCGAGGGUUCGAAUCCCUCUCUUUCCG